CUCCACACUGCUCCGUGGAGUGUCCGGCUGAGCAUUUUGGGAAGAAAACAUAGAUUUGGGAAGUAUAUAAGCAUUACAGUAGUCUGUACACAUAUCUAAAGUGAAAAUGGGAAUCGCAAGUAAGGCGGGGGACUGGGUGUUCAAGAUCUUCACGGCUGGGCUAGGCGGCGCCACCAUUUUCUUCGCCGCCAAUCUCUCCUUCAACGUCUACCGUGGGAAGAAAUGGAAUACUGCCCAACUGAAGAGUGAAGAAAAGGCAGAAUAAGCUGCGGUGGAUUCCAAGUCCUAUACUGUAUAUGUAACUUGCCAUGUAGAACGUUGGAUGAGAUUGUCCAAUAACUUCCUAGCUACAGCUUCAUUUGAAUAUCAUUAAGCAGUACAAAUGUCUGACUGCAACAAAUGUUACUCGUUUUGUUCAUCUUGUAUUCUAGUACAAAAGUUGGUGUUGCUGACA
Molecule: long non-coding RNA, 454 nt
Organism: Ipomoea nil (Japanese morning glory)
Lineage: Eukaryota; Viridiplantae; Streptophyta; Magnoliopsida; Solanales; Convolvulaceae
Exons: 2
Source: RefSeq, a predicted model, not a curated record